Molecule: non-coding RNA, 1234 nt
Organism: Triticum urartu
Lineage: Eukaryota; Viridiplantae; Streptophyta; Magnoliopsida; Poales; Poaceae
Source: RefSeq, a predicted model, not a curated record
AUCAUUCUCCAGCAUCUACAUGUACUGCACUGCUUUAGAAUUGUUCUGCAUAUGUUAUCUGAACAUUGUGUAGUUCCCAGAUUAUACUAGAAUGAUUAGCUUGAAUAGCUGAAGUAACUGGUGGUACAAUAUAUGUGACCAUCUGGCAGCAUGAUUUUUAUUGGUUGCUGGUUGCAUAUUGCCUGUCAUCAUGAUUGAUCAUGAGUCACGGCCAUCUAGCAGUGCAUUUUACUCUCCUGGUGUUUGAAAUUUGAAGCUCUAUGUGCACCUAUGGAAACUAGGUUUAUUGAUUUAGCAUGAAUUUUGGGGAUGUUAUAUCUUUCAAGUUGCAACUGCAUGACCACCAAACAUAGUCGACCAGCUGUGAGGCUUGACAUGUUUCUCAGUUUUAAGUUUGCACAUAUCUACUAUACAUUUCAUUGAUUGAUUGCUUUGCUUCUUGUAUGUUGAUAUUUUCUGCGGAUAUACUGUUUUUUUCGUAGUGUUCAAGCACCCUGUUAUAUCUAGUUAUGCACCUUGUGGCUGCUCUGCCAGGUUGCUUUAUGUUUUUAUUUUGAGAAAAAGUCACGCUUCAUGUUCUGUCUACUGAUAUAAGAUCCCACACCAUUGUUUAUUUAAGACUUCCACAAGUUAACUUCUAGUGAGGCUGUUAGUGUACUAUGGCAUUUAAGUCCACUACAAUAGCUGAAUAAUUUACCUUACUAAGCGAACCCACUAAGUCAUCAUAUAUACUUUUACAUAAUGUGGUUCUGAAAAUUGGGUAGUUCUCAUAUUCUAGUAGGAUGAUUAGCUUGAAUUGUUGUGGUAACUAGUGGUGUUGUACAACAUGACCAUAUGGCAGCAUGUUUUAUUGCUUGCUGGUUGCGUAAUGCUUGUCAUCAUGAUUUGUCAUGACCAUCUAGCAGUGUAUUUCACUCCGUGGUUUUCCCGAGUUCUUCGAUUAUGAUAUAUGAAGCUUUAUGUGCAGGCGCUCGCAACUGAGGUCUUCAACAGUCAACACACACGCGCGGCGCAUGAAUGCAGGCAGGCACACGUUUUUGGAGAGCUAACCUGAAUAUCUCUGAUGGUUCUGUAGUGAGUGCUGUAAUGUUUACCUCAAGUUGCUACUCCGUGUUUGCAUGAGGAUGAGGUGUGCUUGAUGUGAGUGUGGCUUGUUCCAACCGUGGAUGUACCUAGUUGCUCUGUGACGAGAGAUAAUUCAAGGAAUCCUUGCCUUCGGUGGUGGGUUAUAAAA